UGAAAGGCCAAUCAAACUUCGUGAUAGCUGGUUCUCUCCGAAAUAUAUUUAGGUAUAGCGUUGUGUCGUAGUAUAAGGGGGUAGAGCACUGAAUGGGCUAGGGCAUACACCAAUGUACCAAACCCUAUCAAACUCCGAAUACCUUAUAUGUAAUCACAGCAGUCAGGCGGCGAGUGAUAAAAUCCGUCGUCAAGAGGGAAACAACCCAGACUAUCAGCUAAGGUCCCCAAGUCUUACUUAAGUGGAAAACGAUGUGAAGUUACUUAAACAACCAGGAGGUUGGCUUAGAAGCAGCCAUCCUUUAAAGAAAGCGUAAUAGCUCACUGGUCUAGUGAUUUUGCGCGGAAAAUAUAACGGGGCUAAAGUAAGCACCGAAGCUAUAGACUUAGUUUUACUAAGUGGUAGGAGAGCGUUCUAUUUGCGUCGAAGGUAUACCGGUAAGGAGUGCUGGAGCGAAUAGAAGUGAGCAUGCAGGCAUGAGUAGCGAUAAUUAAUGUGAGAAUCAUUAACGCCGUAAACCCAAGGUUUCCUACGCGAUGCUCGUCAUCGUAGGGUUAGUCGGGUCCUAAGUCGAGUCCGAAAGGGGUAGACGAUGGCAAAUUGGUUAAUAUUCCAAUACCAACAUUAGUGUGCGAUGGAAGGACGCUUAGGGCUAAGCAAGCUAGCGGAUGGAAGUGCUAGUCUAAGGAUGUAGGAGCUUAUACAGGCAAAUCCGUAUAAGAAUACUCCGAGAUCUUAAAGGCUCUUCAAAGUCUUCGGAUAGCGAGGAGAAUUGCUGAUGCCGUCGAGCCAAGAAAAGUUUCUAAGUUUAGCUAAUGUUGCCCGUACCGUAAACCGACACAGGUGGGUGGGAUGAGUAUUCUAAGGCGCGUGGAAGAACUCUCUUUAAGGAACUCUGCAAAAUAGCACCGUAUCUUCGGUAUAAGGUGUGGUUCGCUUUGUAUUAGAAUUUACUUCGAAAGCAAAGAAACUUACAACAAAGAGUCCCUCCCGACUGUUUACCAAAAACACAGCACUCUGCUAACUCGUAAGAGGAUGUAUAGGGUGUGACGCCUGCCCGGUGCUCGAAGGUUAAUUGAUGGGGUUAGCAUUAGCGAAGCUCUUGAUCGAAGCCCGAGUAAACGGCGGCCGUAACUAUAACGGUCCUAAGGUAGCGAAAUUCCUUGUCGGUUAAAUACCGACCUGCAUGAAUGGCGUAACGAGAUGGGAGCUGUCUCAAAGAGGGAUCCAGUGAAAUUGUAGUGGAGGUGAAAAUUCCUCCUACCCGCGGCAAGACGGAAAGACCCCGUGGACCUUUACUACAGCUUGACACUGCUAUUUGGAUAAGAAUGUGCAGGAUAGGUGGGAGGCUUUGAGUAAUAGACGCUAGUUUAUUAUGAGCCAUUGUUGAGAUACCACUCUUUCUUAUUUGGGUAGCUAACUAGCUUGAGUUAUCCUCAAGUAGGACAAUGUCUGGUGGGUAGUUUGACUGGGGCGGUCGCCUCCCAAAUAAUAACGGAGGCUUACAAAGGUUGGCUCAGAACGGUUGGAAAUCGUUCGUAGAGUAUAAAGGUAUAAGCCAGCUUAACUGCAAGACAUACAAGUCAAGCAGGGACGAAAGUCGGUCUUAGUGAUCCGGUGGUUCUGUGUGGAAGGGCCAUCGCUCAAAGGAUAAAAGGUACCCCGGGGAUAACAGGCUGAUCUCCCCCAAGAGCUCACAUCGACGGGGAGGUUUGGCACCUCGAUGUCGGCUCAUCGCAUCCUGGGGCUGGAGCAGGUCCCAAGGGUAUGGCUGUUCGCCAUUUAAAGCGGUACGCGAGCUGGGUUCAGAACGUCGUGAGACAGUUCGGUCCCUAUCUGCCGUGGGCGUAAGAAGAUUGAAGAGAUUUGACCCUAGUACGAGAGGACCGGGUUGAACAAACCACUGGUGUAGCUGUUGUUCUGCCAAGAGCAUCGCAGCGUAGCUAAGUUUGGAACGGAUAAACGCUGAAAGCAUCUAAGCGUGAAGCCAACUCUAAGAUGAAUCUUCUCUAAGCUCUCUAGAAGACUACUAGUUUGAUAGGCUGGGUGUGUAAUGGAUGAAAGUCCUUUAGCUGACCAGUACUAAUAGAGCGUUUGGCUUAUCUUUUUUAUAAGCAU
This 2118-nucleotide ribosomal RNA is filed under the name Campylobacter lari. Its description in RNAcentral is "partial 23S ribosomal RNA". It matches the Rfam family "Bacterial large subunit ribosomal RNA", at positions 822 to 2925 of the family's 2925-position model. The record is from RNAcentral. Lineage: Bacteria; Pseudomonadati; Campylobacterota; Epsilonproteobacteria; Campylobacterales; Campylobacteraceae.